AAACAGGUGUUUACCAGAGGAGGGGUGAGGGAAGGAAAGAAAUAGCUGAGGGAGAUUAGGAGGUACAAACCUUCAGUUACAAAAUAAAUGAAUCAUGAGUAUGAAAUUUAAAGUUAGGGACAGAUC
Non-coding RNA from Vicugna pacos (alpaca), 126 nucleotides. NCBI's taxonomy places the organism in Eukaryota, Metazoa, Chordata, Mammalia, Artiodactyla, Camelidae. The record is from RefSeq and is a predicted model, not a curated record.